RNAcentral lists this ribosomal RNA (253 nucleotides) under uncultured bacterium. RNAcentral's name for it is "partial 16S ribosomal RNA". It matches the Rfam family "Bacterial small subunit ribosomal RNA", at positions 524 to 776 of the family's 1533-position model. The record is from RNAcentral.
GACGUAGGGCGCAAGCGUUGUCCGGAUUUAUUGGGCGUAAAGAGCUCGUAGGCGGUUUGUCGCGUCUGCUGUGAAAACUCGGGGCUUAACUCCGGGCCUGCAGUGGGUACGGGCAGACUAGAGUGCGGUAGGGGAGACUGGAAUUCCUGGUGUAGCGGUGAAAUGCGCAGAUAUCAGGAGGAACACCGGUGGCGAAGGCGGGUCUCUGGGCAGUAACUGACGCUGAGGAGCGAAAGCGUGGGGAGCGAACAGG